CACCGCCCGUCACACCAUGGGAGUGGGUUGCACCAGAAGUCAAUAGACUAACCGCAAGGAGGUCGUUGACCACGGUGUGAUUCAUGACUGGGGUG
RNAcentral lists this ribosomal RNA (95 nucleotides) under uncultured bacterium. RNAcentral describes it as "partial 16S ribosomal RNA". It matches the Rfam family "Bacterial small subunit ribosomal RNA", at positions 1388 to 1482 of the family's 1533-position model. The record is from RNAcentral.